RNAcentral lists this ribosomal RNA (513 nucleotides) under Metschnikowia sp. (in: budding yeasts & allies). RNAcentral describes it as "eukaryotic LSU rRNA". It matches the Rfam family "Eukaryotic large subunit ribosomal RNA", at positions 63 to 656 of the family's 3401-position model. Lineage: Eukaryota; Fungi; Ascomycota; Pichiomycetes; Serinales; Metschnikowiaceae. The record is from RNAcentral.
AACCAACAGGGAUUGCCUCAGUACGGCGAGUGAAGCGGCAAAAGCUCAAAUUUGAAAUCCCCCGGGAAUUGUAAUUUGAAGAGAUUUGGGUCCGGCCGGCGGGGGUUAAGUCCACUGGAAAGUGGCGCCACAGAGGGUGACAGCCCCGUGAACCCCCUUAACGCCCUCAUCCCAGAUCUCCAAGAGUCGAGUUGUUUGGGAAUGCAGCUCUAAGUGGGUGGUAAAUUCCAUCUAAAGCUAAAUACCGGCGAGAGACCGAUAGCGAACAAGUACAGUGAUGGAAAGAUGAAAAGCACUUUGAAAAGAGAGUGAAAAAGUACGUGAAAUUGUUGAAAGGGAAGGGCUUGCAAGCAGACACUUAACUGGGCCAGCAUCGGGGCGGCGGGGAAGACAAAAACCACCGGGGGAAAUGUACCUUUUCGGAGGGAUUAUAACCCCGGUCCUUACUCCCACGCCACCCCGAGGCCUGCAAUCUAAGGAUGCUGGCGUAAUGGUUGCAAGUCGCCCGUCUUA